This 529-nucleotide long non-coding RNA is filed under the name Ananas comosus (pineapple). RNAcentral's name for it is "long non-coding RNA (ACOM_LNC017387)". The record is from RNAcentral. Lineage: Eukaryota; Viridiplantae; Streptophyta; Magnoliopsida; Poales; Bromeliaceae.
GUGAGCGUAGCGAAGGACGUAUGAACAAAUUAAAUUUAGGGAUAAUUGUCUAUAUACCAUUCAAAACUUUGAAAAUAUUUUAUUUACCUUUACUUUUUUCUUUUUUCAAUAUACCCAUUAUAUGUUCCUCCGUUAUUCCAAAAUAACUCUACAGUUACCACCCGUUAAGUUAACUUAAGUUAAACGUGGGUUAAAUAUUUAUCACAGUUAAAAAAAAUUAAAAUACCACUUUUGUCCUUAAUUUAAAGGUAAAUAAGAAAUGUUGGUGAUGAUAGAAGGGUAUAUUUGAAAAGAUCAAAAAGUAAAAUACUUUUUGUGCUCAUAACUUAAGAACAAAUAAGAAAAGUCGGUGAUGGUAGAAGGGUAUAUUUGAAAGGGCAAAAUAAUAAUUUUACAGAGAUAACAGAAUUCAUUAACAGAUUUUAACUUUAGGGGUAUAUUAGAAAUAGAUUGGAACGUAAAAAUGUAUUUUCAAUAUUAACCUUUUAAAAAGAUAAAUCAGAAAGUCAAAAUUUUCUUUGGAAUAUAU